RNAcentral lists this transfer RNA (68 nucleotides) under Acetes chinensis (northern mauxia shrimp). Its description in RNAcentral is "tRNA-Ile". Lineage: Eukaryota; Metazoa; Arthropoda; Malacostraca; Decapoda; Sergestidae. The record is from RNAcentral.
AAUAAAGUGCCUGAUAAAAGGAUUAUCUUGAUAGGAUAAAACAUGCAAGUUAAAGCCUGCCUUUAUUA